GAUGAAGAACGUAGCGAAAUGCGAUACGUAAUGUGAAUUGCAGAUUUCAGUGAAUCAUCGAAUCUUUGAACGCACAUUGCGCCCGCUAGUAUUCUGGCGGGCAUGCCUGUUCGAGCGUCAUUUCAACCAUCAAGCCCCCGGGCCUGGCGUUGGGGAUCGGCGGAGCCCCCCGUGGGCACACGCCGUCCCCCAAAUGCAGUGGCGGUCCCGCCGCAGCUUCCAUCGCGUAGUAGCUAACACCUCGCGACUGGAGAGCGGCGCGGCCACGCCGUAAAACACCCAACUCUUCUGAAGUUGACCUCGAAUCAGGUAGGAAUACCCGCUGAACUUAAGCAUAUCAAUAAGCGGAGGA
Molecule: unclassified non-coding RNA, 352 nt
Filed under: soil metagenome
Description: partial contains 5.8S ribosomal RNA, internal transcribed spacer 2, and large subunit ribosomal RNA
Rfam family: 5.8S ribosomal RNA (bases 1-120)
Source: RNAcentral